AGCUCGUCUGAAUCUGAGCACGCAGGUCAGAAACAGCCAACUUUCCAGGGCCGUGAAAGUGCAGCAGCUCUCAGAGUAUCCCAGAGCCACAGAGAUCCUGACUGCAGUCACAGAAGAUCUGCACUCCUUUCUAUUGGUUCAAGUGUCACUCAAGGAUUCAGGAUGGUCAGUGGGGUGUAGCCCACCAGCACCACCACUGCUGCUGAAGCACCCGUGAGCCAAUGAAUACUGACGUGUACUCGCUUACGUUUGACCCUGGCGUCCAGCUCCUUCUCCAUGAGUUCUUUGGAUGUGGAGAACUCACUCAGAGUGAUUUUGGGCGUGCCGUCUCCUGGGCCCACUGAGCCGAUCAUCUCCUGCUCCUUCUCCUGGUUAACCUCAGCAUAUAUGUUGAUCCAAGGCCUCGUGCACUGGAAUCUCACAAGUAUGAGUGACACCUCCACAGGGAUCUAUCCACGGAAAACACCAAACACGGCUAUAACAGAGUGGUCCAGACAGGGCUCAUCUGCUGCCAUCAAUAAUGGAGAGCAGGGUCAUCGCUGUAUGCUGGGGUAAUCAGAGAGGGAUGCACCUUUUGAAUUUGUAGAUGAGAAACACCGCGAGGCCGAGAAACACCACCGACAGGAGCAUGAGCAUAGCUGAGCUGCUGUGCCGGGGGCUCGAGUCCACCAAGGGUGCUGUGGGAGCAGGGGAGAGGACAGAGAGGGUGUAAGAAGUUAACCAGAUGUGACUAAAUGUUGAUGAUGAAGAUGU
This is a long non-coding RNA of Archocentrus centrarchus (flier cichlid), 753 nucleotides long. RefSeq lists it as uncharacterized. NCBI's taxonomy places the organism in Eukaryota, Metazoa, Chordata, Actinopteri, Cichliformes, Cichlidae. The record is from RefSeq and is a predicted model, not a curated record. The transcript is spliced from 3 exons.